RNAcentral lists this ribosomal RNA (397 nucleotides) under uncultured bacterium. RNAcentral's name for it is "partial 16S ribosomal RNA". It matches the Rfam family "Bacterial small subunit ribosomal RNA", at positions 523 to 918 of the family's 1533-position model. The record is from RNAcentral.
AUACGUAGGUGACAAGCGUUAUCCGGAUUUACUGGGCGUAAAGGGCGUGUAGGCGGUCUUGCAAGUCAGAAGUGAAAUUCCUGAGCUCAACUCGGGCGCUGCUUCUGAAACUGCAGGACUUGAGUGCUGGAGGGGAUAGCGGAAUUCCUAGUGGAGCGGUAAAAUGCGCAGAUAUUAGGAAUAACACCGGUGGCGAAGGCGGCGUUCUGUACAGUACCUUACGUUGAUGCGCGAAAGCGUGGGGAGAAAACAGGAUUAGAUACCCUGGGAUUCCACGCCGUAAACGAUGAAUACUAGGUGUAGGGGGUACCGACUCCCUCUGUGCCGCAGUUAACACAAUAAGUAUUCCGCCUUGGGAGUACGGCCUCAAGGUUGAAACUCACAUGAAUUGACGGGG